Molecule: long non-coding RNA, 887 nt
Organism: Homo sapiens (human)
Lineage: Eukaryota; Metazoa; Chordata; Mammalia; Primates; Hominidae
Exons: 3
Source: RefSeq, a predicted model, not a curated record
AGUGUCAUGGUCUUGCCUCCAGAAUUGAAGAAAUCAUUUAGUACAAAUACCUCGUUUGAGAGAUGAGGAACCUAAGGUCCUUAGAGAGCAUGUAACUGGCCCAGAAUAAUACAGCUGGCUCAUGGCAGACCUGGUGCCCAAGCCAAUGCUUUGUCUUACAACCGAACACCCCGGUGUUUCUCAAAUGUGCUGCUUUAAUGAUUUUUUACUAAAUGUGUUCCCUUUCUUUUGAUAAAACUUCAUUGUUUUAUGUUUAUGUCUACAUUACCAUAUAGUUUUUCCCAGAAAAAGGCUUUGUUUAUGAAUAUGUGCAGCAUCGAUUUAUUCAACUUACGGUUUUUAACUGAUGAGAUCACUAAUAUGGUUCAACUGGUAAAACAUAUCGGCAGCCUGCCUGGUAUCAUGGGUUUGUAAUAAAGGGAAGAAGUCCUUACUCAUAAGCCAUUAAGAAGAGUUCUCCUGGAAAUCACGCGCCUGUGUCCCAGUUGCAAGAGGCCAGUAAAGUGAAUGGCUAGCAUUCUGAGUGUCUGCAGUGGGAAGAGUUCUUUCAGCAAAGCAGAAAGGGGAAAAGCAAGUGGUGGUGAUCAGCAGUGUCUACUUCAACUUUGAAGCCUAAAACAAUGUGAAGUAUUUCUAGUUAGAAUCACAACAUACCACAUUUCUCUCUACUGAACACCAUUUUACUAGUUGGAAUUUUUAUCUUGAUUGUGAAUUCCUUGACACAACCUGCAUGAGCAUGAGCGUGUCCUUAAUUCAUUUAAGCUACUUGAGGUAAUUCUCAACAUAGAUAUGCUUGUAAUUGCUAUUCGGUUUUAGUUUGUUUCAGCGAUUUUGAGUAAAAAGAGAAAGCAGAAUAUAUGAUAAUAAAUUGGAAUUUAUUAUUAAGA